GACGAACGCUGGCGGCAUGCCUAACACAUGCAAGUCGAGCGAGCAGAUCCCUUCGGGGUGAAGCUAGCGGCGGACGGGUGAGUAACACGUGGGCAACCUGCCUCAUAGAGGGGAAUAGCCUUCCGAAAGGAAGAUUAAUACCGCAUAAGAUUGUAGCUUCGCAUGAAGUAGCAAUUAAAGGAGCAAUCCACUAUGAGAUGGGCCCACGGCGCAUUAGCUAGUUGGUGAGGUAACGGCUCACCAAGGCGACGAUGCGUAGCCGACCUGAGAGGGUGAUCGGCCACAUUGGGACUGAAACACGGCCCAGACUCCUACGGGAGGCAGCAGUGGGGAAUAUUGCACAAUGGGGGAAACCCUGAUGCAGCAAUGCCGCGUGAGUGAUGACGGCCUUCGGGUUGUAAAGCUCUGUCUUCGGGGACGAUAAUGACGGUACCCGAGGAGGAAGCCACGGCUAACUACGUGCCAGCAGCCGCGGUAA
RNAcentral lists this ribosomal RNA (478 nucleotides) under uncultured bacterium. RNAcentral's name for it is "partial 16S ribosomal RNA". It matches the Rfam family "Bacterial small subunit ribosomal RNA", at positions 28 to 523 of the family's 1533-position model. The record is from RNAcentral.